AUUGAACGCUGGCGGCAGGCCUAACACAUGCAAGUCGAGCGGAUGAAGGGAGCUUGCUCCUGGAUUCAGCGGCGGACGGGUGAGUAAUGCCUAGGAAUCUGCCUGGUAGUGGGGGAUAACGUCCGGAAACGGGCGCUAAUACCGCAUACGUCCUGAGGGUGAAAGUGGGGGAUCUUCGGACCUCACGCUAUCAGAUGAGCCUAGGUCGGAUUAGCUAGUUGGUGGGGUAAAGGCCUACCAAGGCGACGAUCCGUAACUGGUCUGAGAGGAUGAUCAGUCACACUGGAACUGAGACGCGGUCCAGACUCCUACGGGAGGCAGCAGUGGGGAAUAUUGGACAAUGGGCGAAAGCCUGAUCCAGCCAUGCCGCGUGUGUGAAGAAGGUCUUCGGAUUGUAAAGCACUUUAAGUUGGGAGGAAGGGCAGUAAGUUAAUACCUUGCUGUUUUGACGUUACCAACAGAAUAAGCACCGGCUAACUUCGUG
RNAcentral lists this ribosomal RNA (484 nucleotides) under uncultured bacterium. RNAcentral's name for it is "partial 16S ribosomal RNA". It matches the Rfam family "Bacterial small subunit ribosomal RNA", at positions 30 to 507 of the family's 1533-position model. The record is from RNAcentral.